Molecule: long non-coding RNA, 545 nt
Organism: Dama dama (fallow deer)
Lineage: Eukaryota; Metazoa; Chordata; Mammalia; Artiodactyla; Cervidae
Exons: 4
Source: RefSeq, a predicted model, not a curated record
CUCCGAGAGGCCGCGGCAGCCCGGCCCACCCUCCGCCGGGAGGCGCCGGGAACGACGAGGAGAGGCCGCGCUUACAUGUUUGUGCCGCGCCGGCUUCACCUGCCCCGAGUUUGAUUUCGGGGUGUGGCCUCAGGUAGUUGUGAAACAGGAGAGACUACUGCAUAUAGCAGUGCAAUUUAUUCAUUGCACAAGGGUUACCAGGUUGAGAGGGUCCAUCGUUAUACUAUCACUGCCUUAAUGAGACAAGAAGUAACCAUUUGAAGGAAGCCAAAGAGAGGCUUCUUUCUCCUAAGACAAACAACAUAAACUAUAAGGAUGAGGCAAACGUGCCCACUUUAUAGUUUUAUGCUCAGGCUAAGAGAAAAUGAAGACAUCAUAGGUCCUAACUGAUCAGGUACUCCACUGAAGAGCUAAUGAAAACUGGUUAAAAUGAAUGAAAGCAUGGCAUUUGGAUUAAGAAACAAGCUGUCAAGGCAGAGAGAGCACCGGAGACAAAGAGAAGAUCAUUUGGACAGGCAAAGACCCUGAAAUCACCAGUACUUACU